RNAcentral lists this transfer RNA (72 nucleotides) under Kapaibacterium sp. (SeqCode). Its description in RNAcentral is "tRNA-Val". It matches the Rfam family "tRNA". From Rfam's summary of the family: Transfer RNA (tRNA) molecules are approximately 80 nucleotides in length. Their secondary structure includes four short double-helical elements and three loops (D, anti-codon, and T loops). Further hydrogen bonds mediate the characteristic L-shaped molecular structure. tRNAs have two regions of fundamental functional importance: the anti-codon, which is responsible for specific mRNA codon recognition, and the 3' end, to which the tRNAs corresponding amino acid is attached (by aminoacyl-tRNA synthetases). tRNAs cope with the degeneracy of the genetic code in two manners: having more than one tRNA (with a specific anti-codon) for a particular amino acid; and 'wobble' base-pairing, i.e. permitting non-standard base-pairing at the 3rd anti-codon position. The record is from RNAcentral. Lineage: Bacteria; Pseudomonadati; Bacteroidota; Eximiradiia; Eximiradiales; Kapaibacteriaceae (SeqCode).
AGCGAUAUAAUUCAACGGUAGAACCACUCCAUACAAGGCUGUGGAACGAGAGUUCGACUCUCUCUGUCGCUG